Long non-coding RNA from Hyla sarda, 579 nucleotides. RefSeq lists it as uncharacterized. NCBI's taxonomy places the organism in Eukaryota, Metazoa, Chordata, Amphibia, Anura, Hylidae. The transcript has 3 exons. The record is from RefSeq and is a predicted model, not a curated record.
UUUUUGGUGUUGUAAGAAAGUGGUCUUUCCUAUGCUGGAGAUGUUCAUGAUAUGUAGAAACUGUUGUAUCUUCUUAAAACUGUUUCCACUUAAAACAGUUGCUGUAGAAAGAAGAAUGUUUCCAGCAGGGUCUUGGACUCAGGUGGCAGUGUGAGGCCAAAGUUCAUUGUCUAGCCAAGGAACCUGGCUGAUCCAUGGGCAAAGUGGAAGGCCUAGCUGACUUUUCAGUUUGAAAUGUCAUAAAAUGUUGAUCGACACUUUCUUCCAAAAGAAAGAAUAGCCUGCAAUGUCAAUCUGCUGCUUCUGAGGCCAAUAAGAUAUUGUCAUGGAUUAAACAAUGCAUUGACCCACAAGACAAGGACAUGAUAUUUCCACUUUGCAAAGCGAAAAGAGACAGAACACACCAAACUCUUAAAUAACUGCACCUGGAAUUUGUUGCAACUAUUGGAAUGAAACAAUAAGCCAUGUUGACAGACCAUAAAAUAAGCAGUUUUUUUUCAGCUGUAAAUAGUUGAAAAAAUAGCUGAUUUAUUAUGGUGUGUGAACAUGGCAUAAUGUAUACAUAACAAAUACAGUGCU